This 209-nucleotide ribosomal RNA is filed under the name uncultured fungus. RNAcentral describes it as "partial 18S ribosomal RNA". It matches the Rfam family "Eukaryotic small subunit ribosomal RNA", at positions 693 to 887 of the family's 1831-position model. The record is from RNAcentral. Lineage: Eukaryota; Fungi.
CGUACUGGUGUUACUGGUUCCUACCUUCUGACGAACCAUCAUGUCAUUAAUUUGGUGUGGUGGGGAAUCAGGACUGUUACUUUGAAAAAAUUAGAGUGUUUAAAGCAGGCUCGCGCUUGAAUACAUUAGCAUGGAAUAAUGAAAUAGGACGUUGAUCCUAUUUUGUUGGUUUCUAGGAUUGACGUAAUGAUUAAUAGGGAUAGUUGGGA